RNAcentral lists this ribosomal RNA (468 nucleotides) under uncultured bacterium. Its description in RNAcentral is "partial 16S ribosomal RNA". It matches the Rfam family "Bacterial small subunit ribosomal RNA", at positions 28 to 507 of the family's 1533-position model. The record is from RNAcentral.
GACGAACGCUGGCGGCGUGCUUAACACAUGCAAGUCGAACGGAAAGGCCCUGCUUUUGUGGGGUGCUCGAGUGGCGAACGGGGGAGUAACACGUGAGUAACCUGCCCUUGACUUUGGGGUAACUUCAGGAAACUGGGGCUAAUACCGGAUAGGAUCUCCUGCUGCAUGGGGGGGGUUGGAAAGUUUCGGCGGUUGGGGAUGGACUCGCGGCUUAUCAGCUUGUUGGUGUGGUAGUGGCUUACCAAGGCUUUGACGGGUAGCCGGCCUGAGAGGGUGACCGGCCACAUUGGGACUGAGAUACGGCCCAGACUCCAACGGGAGGCAGCAGUGGGGAGUAUUGCACAAUGGGCGGAAGCCUGAUGCAGAAACGCCGCGUGCGGGAUGACGGCCUUCGAGUUGUAAACAGAUUUCGACUGUGACGAAGAGUGAGUGACGGUAAUGGGUCAAGAAGCCACGGCUAACUACGUG